This 497-nucleotide ribosomal RNA is filed under the name uncultured bacterium. RNAcentral's name for it is "partial 16S ribosomal RNA". It matches the Rfam family "Bacterial small subunit ribosomal RNA", at positions 28 to 507 of the family's 1533-position model. The record is from RNAcentral.
GAUGAACGCUGGCGGCGUGCCUAAUACAUGCAAGUCGAGCGAACAGACGAGGAGCUUGCUCCUCUGACGUUAGCGGCGGACGGGUGAGUAACACGUGGAUAACCUACCUAUAAGACUGGGAUAACUUCGGGAAACCGGAGCUAAUACCGGAUAAUAUAUUGAACCGCAUGGUUCAAUAGUGAAAGACGGUUUUGCUGUCACUUAUAGAUGGAUCCGCGCCGCAUUAGCUAGUUGGUAAGGUAACGGCUUACCAAGGCAACGAUGCGUAGCCGACCUGAGAGGGUGAUCGGCCACACUGGAACUGAGACACGGUCCAGACGCCUACGGGAGGCAGCAGUAGGGAAUCUUCCGCAAAGGGCGAAAGCCUGACGGAGCAACGCCGCGUGAGUGAUGAAGGUCUUCGGAUCGUAAAACUCUGUUAUUAGGGAAGAACAAAUGUGUAAGUAACUAUGCACGUCUUGACGGUACCUAAUCAGAAAGCCACGGCUAACUACGUG